CCGUCUCCUUCACGAGAAACAAUUUUCUGUGUUUUCUUUCCCAAAAAAAACUCAGUCGACCAUCUUUUCUUUGUCCCCCAUCUCUACCAGCAUGUCAUAUCUCUCAGAUUUUCAAUACCAUCCCCUCAACUAAAAAGCCUCCCCUGAUUUCCUUACAAUUUCCGGCAACAGAAUCUCGAACUCGAUCUCUGUUGACCCAUCCCCCUCUAACCCUAAUUAUCUGUCACCCUUUGUUACUCUCUACCCAAUACCGUUUCACAUCAAAUCAAUCUUCUUACUGCACGCAACAAUUUCACCUCUCCCCUACUGAUAGAAGCUCGGAAUGAAGAUUGAUUUGAGGUUUUAAGACAUCGAGACAAGGUCAGGCGGUGUUGUACAAGCAGCAAGAAUUAUCAAUUCAUCUAAAUCUGAGUUUACAUUACCGACAGUAACAGCAGGAAAUGGCAGCGGUGAGCACAAGCAACAAAUGCUGUCAAAUUAUGUCUGAUGUUGUUCUCCUUUCAAACACCGAAAAUAUCAGUCCAUUAGUGAAGAUAGUUCAGUGGAUGUGUAGGAUGAGGAGUGUUUUCAGUGAUGAGUUUCAAUGACAUGAAAACCCUAAAUUUUAUAUUGUAUUUGUUGACUAGAGGGACUGGUAAUUGAGGAGGAAAUGUAUAAAUAUGGGAUGUCAUGAUGUAUUUGAGGUAUCUGCAAUACUGAAGUACGAGCCAAGGACGAUGAGAAGAAGGAGCAUAACAAUCUGUGGAAAUGCCUAAACCCGGUUUUAUACCGGCGGUAUCAUUCUUCAAAACUUGAUGUCUGUCUUGAAUGAUGACCAUGUCUGCUCACUUAACUAGUGCUAACUGACCGUUGUCAAACCCCUGUAACAUAUAACAUCUUUGUGCAUCUGUGAUAUCUAAGUAACUUAUAUCUGUGCUUAUCUCUGUAAAAUACCUUUUUUUGUG
Molecule: long non-coding RNA, 944 nt
Organism: Papaver somniferum (opium poppy)
Lineage: Eukaryota; Viridiplantae; Streptophyta; Magnoliopsida; Ranunculales; Papaveraceae
Exons: 2
Source: RefSeq, a predicted model, not a curated record